AAAAUGGAGAGUUUGAUCCUGGCUCAGAACGAACGCUGGCGGCGUGCCUAACACAUGCAAGUCGUACGAGAAAUCCUGGGCAACUGGGAAAGUAAAGUGGCGCACGGGUGAGUAACGCGUGGGUAACCUACCCUUGGAUUUGGGAUAACUCCGCGAAAGCGGGGUUAAUACCGGAUGAUAUUCCGAUUUCUAAGGGGAUCGGAAUCAAAGGUGGCCUCUGCAUGCAAGCUAUCAUCUGAGGAUGGGCCCGCGUACCAUUAGCUAGUUGGUAGGGUAAUGGCCUACCAAGGCAACGAUGGUUAGCUGGUCUUAGAGGAUGGCCAGCCACACUGG
RNAcentral lists this non-coding RNA (333 nucleotides) under Deltaproteobacteria bacterium RBG_19FT_COMBO_46_12. Its description in RNAcentral is "bacterial SSU rRNA". It matches the Rfam family "Bacterial small subunit ribosomal RNA", at positions 1 to 316 of the family's 1533-position model. Lineage: Bacteria; Deltaproteobacteria. The record is from RNAcentral.